AGUCACUGACAUUAGAUACCCGGGUAGUCCAGGGUGUAAACGCUGCAGACUUGGUGUUGGGGCCCGUUUGGGGGCAUUCAGUGCCGGAGAGAAGUUGUUAAGUCUGCUACGUUGGGAGUACGUCCGCAAGGAUGAAACUUAAAGGAAUUGGCGGGGGAGCACCGCAACGGGAGGAGCGUGCGGUUUAAUUGGAUUCAACACCGUAAACUCACCAGGGAAGACUGUUACAUGAAGGCCGAGAUGAAGACUCUGCUAGAUUUUCAG
RNAcentral lists this ribosomal RNA (264 nucleotides) under uncultured archaeon. RNAcentral's name for it is "partial 16S ribosomal RNA". It matches the Rfam family "Archaeal small subunit ribosomal RNA", at positions 719 to 982 of the family's 1478-position model. The record is from RNAcentral.